AUCCAGCUGACAAGUCCCAAAUAGGACGAAACGCAUGUCAUGGAU
RNAcentral lists this non-coding RNA (45 nucleotides) under Schistosoma mansoni. The record is from RNAcentral. Lineage: Eukaryota; Metazoa; Platyhelminthes; Trematoda; Strigeidida; Schistosomatidae.